UGGAUGUUGGCGUCCUGCCUGUGAUGGGUGGGGUUGAGGGCAUGCUGUUGGGUUGUGGGGUAUCACAUGUGUGGUGGCCUGUGCGGUGCUGUGUUGCGUGCGUGUGUGCGUGGUGUGGUGUUCGUGUGGUGGUUGAGAACUGUAUAGUGGAUGCGAGUAUCUUUAUUGUUGUAUGUGUUUGUGCGACGUGGUGUUGUGCAAAGUUGUGUAGUGCGAUCGGUGGAUGCCUUGGCACCAACAGCCGAUGAACGACGUUGUGAGCUGCCCUCCACCCUGAUGAGCUUGUGACCUCGCAGUUAACUGGGCGAGUCCCUAUGG
This 318-nucleotide ribosomal RNA is filed under the name Cutibacterium acnes. RNAcentral describes it as "partial 16S ribosomal RNA". The record is from RNAcentral. Lineage: Bacteria; Bacillati; Actinomycetota; Actinomycetes; Propionibacteriales; Propionibacteriaceae.